GACGAACGCUGGCGGCGUGCUUAACACAUGCAAGUCGAACGGUGAAGCGCCUUCCUUUUUGGUGGGAUUGGAUGAGUGGCGAAGGGGUGAGUACCACGUGAGUAACCUGACACCUUCUUCUGGAUAACCGCAUGAAAGAGUUGCUAAUACGGGAUAUUUUGGGUCUGUUGCUUGAUGGGUCUGGGAAAGUUUUUGUUUCGGUGGGGGAUGGGUUCGCGGCCUAUCAGCUUGUUGGUGUGGUGAUUGCCUACCAAGGCGAGGAAGGGUAGCCGGCCUGAGAGGGUGGACGAUCACACAGGGACGACGCGACGGCCACGACUCCGACGGGAGGCAGCAGGGAAGAUUAUGGCACGAGGGGCGCAAGGCUGAUGCAGCGACGCGGCGUGAGUGAUGGGCGCCUGCGGGUAGUAAUCCGCUAUCGGCAAUGAAGCAAGCCUGCCUCGACUGUGGGUGUGUUGACGGUAGCUAGACAGAAAGCGCCGGCUAACUACGUG
Molecule: ribosomal RNA, 494 nt
Filed under: uncultured bacterium
Lineage: Bacteria
Description: partial 16S ribosomal RNA
Rfam family: Bacterial small subunit ribosomal RNA
Source: RNAcentral